Molecule: long non-coding RNA, 4266 nt
Organism: Falco peregrinus (peregrine falcon)
Lineage: Eukaryota; Metazoa; Chordata; Aves; Falconiformes; Falconidae
Exons: 3
Source: RefSeq, a predicted model, not a curated record
CAGAACUUCCUUCUUCCCAGAUUAGACACAUUCAUGCAAUUUAAUUUGUAAGCUUCUUCAGCUUUUCUGUUUGUGAUAAAGGGAAAGUUAAAAUUCACAAACAAAUCCCACACAAAUUGUUAAACUUUUGUGAUCCUGUUAAAGUUAUAUCAAAUGCUGUCUUUACCAGUUCAUAUAUUAAAUACUGGCUUUCAGUUUCAACUUGAACUGCUGUCUUUGUGCAGGCUGGAUUAAACCCAGAUAGGUUAUCCAGUUUAGUUAUUACUGUAUUGUUCAAGUGGUGCUUAUCUGUGUGUUUUACAUUCAAGUGUAGAAAUGGGGAGGGGAGGGGGGAGGUUUGCUACUUUUACAUCUUAAUUGAAAAAAAUCAGAACAUUUUCACAUACCCAGGUUAAAAAUUAACAAAUGUGAAUGUUGGACUUUUAACUCACUAGUCAGAGAGAAUGUAAGGUUGGAAUAUAUUCUAAGUACAAGAUUGAAAAUGUAUGUGAAAAUACGCUGGCCACUUCCAGAUGUAAUACUUCAAAGGUGCCACAUUUAUUCUAGUUGACUUAUAUUCUACUGCAAACACUGCUGAGAUAGCUGUCACCUUCACAUCCCCAGGUAUUGUGCGUGGCCAACAGAAUUAUUGGAUUGUACAAGGUCGUUAAUCCCCCAUAAUUAACUACUGGGAGGCCUGAUUUUCUCAGACUUCAGGAUUUAUCAGAGACUGUUCCCUAUCUCACCAGAGGUGCUCAGCACCAUGCAAGUCUGCACCCUAAGAGGGAUACAUUGAGUUCAAUGAGGUCUUAUUAGUUACAAAAUGCUGUAAUUGGGUUUAUUGGAACUGAUCCUAAAAUGGUAUAUAAUCAGAUGUGAUUAAUCUUCUUUUGAUACACCCAUGUGUGCAGUAUCUGAAGACUAAUGAUAACCUGGUCAAUGUCAUUACAAAUAACAAAAUAUCGAUCAUUUGGAAGAGGCUUCCUUCUCCCAGACCUGUGCAAAUUAGCCUUUUUCAUAUAAAAUAGAUUGGACUUUUAUGGACCCAAAGAUGGAUAGUUUCCCACAACAGCUGCAUCUACAUAUAAAAGUAGGUGUUUUGUCUAAGGAGUACUUGCUGUGGCUUUGUGAGUAGGAUUUUCCACUGAAUGCUGCCCUAAAGAAUUCCUUCUGGGUUGAUCUUCUCAGGAAUCAUUCUUUCCUCACACUAAAACCCACAAGAGUCUUUGGAUCUCAGAAACCACAAGACUCAAGAGAUGUAAGGGUGUCAGGAGCUCUGAACUGCCUCCUAAGCCUUCUGUGAUCACCUUGCAGGGUGCUAAAAUUUUCAAGACAGACCAAAUUGCUAAUUUCCUUAUGGCUACACCUUACCAGCUACUGGGGCUUGCCACUGCAAUGCAAGUCUGUGCUGUGCACAAUGAACAUCGUCCUGAUUGUACUCCGGAAUGAUAAAAUUGGAACUAAAAUUUCACACAUCGUGCGCACUACUAACCUUUUUAUCAAUACAGUGUCUUACUUUGAUGGAUACUGUGUCCGUAUCUUUGCAAAAGGAAUUGGUCAGACUUGCUAUAUAGUGUCAAGUACUAGUAUUUAAUUAGAAUUAUUAAUGUAGUUAGAUUAAAAAUAAUGAAGAAGAUUCUCUGCAGGCAUAAGUAUUCAUGGUUCACUGAGUACCAACAAGUUAUACUUGUUUACACCAGCCCAGGGAAUGAAACAGUUGAAUGUAAUAAAAUAUUUCCUACAAAGCAGCUUGAUGCAAGUACUGUGCAGCACAGCAGAUACGAGGAAAAAAGCAUGUACAGCAAAACCUCCAACAGAUUUCAGUGUGACCUCCAUCAGGAAUAAAGCCAGCCCUUUCCUCCACUGCCAAGAAAGUCUGCUUUUUGGUAAGACUGGUGGUUCAACAACCUAGCACACACACUUUAAGCAAAAGGAAAUUUUUCUCUUUUGGGAAUCCUCUUUUCAGCAUUGAGCGAGCAAGCAAACUCCCGAAGGGCACUGGACAUGGACUUGGACAAUUAGGAGUCAAACAAGAGCCAAAUGUUUUUGCCCUGAGGCUUAAAAAGCUGAUGAAGAUGGUAUAGGGAAGUAUAGGAGCCAGGCGGGUGACCUGGUCACAAUGAACAUCUUGUACCCCCCCUCCAACUCCUCUGCCUCCAGUGCAUCUCUGCCCCCGUGCUUCAGCACAGGCCAGAUCACAAAGACCUAUUGUGUCUAUUAUUUUAAUCCACAAACAAUUGUCCAAACAAAGGCAUACAUGCAAACAAGCCUGCAUUUGGAUGCAAUACUUGCUUUCAUUUGGAAAGUUAGGAAAUGAUCUGGCGUGUUGCAACAGCUGGAGCAGGAAGAGAGGACGGUGACUGCUGUUUCCCAGCGUAAUAAGCAAGAAAUGCAUCACGGAGACGUAGGCUGUUUGCAGAUGUAAGACUGCCAGGCAGCUGUAAAAAACAAGCCUCUUCCCUCCCCCUGCCUGGAUGCAGGCGUUUGCUGUGCAUUCUGCUGGGACAUGAAGAAUAUUUCUCAUUCGCGGUGCUGCAGCGGGACGCCCGGAGAAGCGGGAUCCAGUUAAGGUGGGGCCCAGCCUUACCCAGAACCUUGGAUUCAAGGGAGAGGCAAUGACACUAUGGAGCUCUUGCAAAAUAACUAAGGAAACUGUUCUUAAUACAAGAGGCCACUCCUGGCCGUCAGAAAAGAAAAAAAAAAACUUCAUUCAACAGCACAAGAAAGUGAAGGUUAUUUUAGUCCAGGCAUGACAGUGUAAAACCAUAAGCAUUUGAACUUAGACCUGCUUUGAAAGGCAUAAAAACUAAAUAGGAUCACAGUUUGUCAUAAAUUGUUGCUUAAAUUGUUCCUGUUUUCUGGCCCGUAGUUGCUCAGGCCCCUGAAAAUUUGGCAGCAGACGCAACUCUCAAGAAUAUAGCUUUCCACUUACAGAAAGGCUGUAUAUAUUCCCCACGGAGAGCCGAACCUAAAGCUGAGAGCAGGCUCUAGAUUGUCAUUAGAUUGUCACCAGUGCUUGCACUGGGAACUAAAAUGAGAAGAGUAUGCCAGUUAUUUUUUUUAAACUUUUUUUAUUUAAUAAAACCCAGUGAACCAUGUGCUUAAAGUUAAGCACAUGUUUAAAGUGCUUAAGGAUAUAGAAUGGCUUAAUGUAUGUCUUUGGAGGGACAGAGCUGAUAAAACAGAUUACAGUUUUACCACAGAACUGACACAAAAAUGGAUUCAAAACCUCUUUUGAACUAAACCCAGCUAUAAUACAUCCUUUGUCUACACCAAAGACUUCUGGCUUCGUAACCAGCAAACUGGAUUUAUAUUACAUAAAUUUUCCCCAAAAAUGUUAACUGUGUCCUCAUACCAUUUUUGUUAGCUCUUCUGAAAACAAAUCAUAAGUCUUAUUUAUAUGGUUCUGACAUCCUUGGUACAGACCAAGUGGUGACUUUAAACCACUCCAGUUAUAUUAAUAUACUUCACUGAUGACUCUUCAUUUUGGAAAGCAAGCAGUCAGCUCAGCAUGGUUGUGCAAUAGUAAUUCAGUAAGCUAGAAAAGUUGCCCAUGUGGGCAAGCACACAUGACUUUUAGUUCUGGCAUAUAAUCCCGUAGCGUUGGCAAAGCGAGUUUCUGGGGGAAAGGACUUGUCGUUCCCUUUUAGCAUUUUACAGCGUCUAGCUCAAAAGCUCCUGAUCUAUGACCACAUGGAUUACUUAAUAUUAAUCGUUCCAUUAUUAAUAACAUUAUUAAUUGGGAAGCUACAGCUACAUUCUCUCCACCACAACCUACCGGUAGCCCUGCAAAACUUUAUGCUGGCACGGUCCUGAGGGACAGCACAGCGUGUGUGUGUGUGUGUGUGUGUGUGUGUGAAUGGAAAGCACAGGUAACAUGAGGGGACAACAGGAUACCCUAAAAAAGAGCAACAUAAGGAGGACUCACCUAUACAGGCCAAAGCUGCCUGUCGCACCUGCUUGUCCUACCAAAGCAAUAGCGGAGCGAGAACUUAAAGCACAUGGUGGGGUUGCCUGGUGUGAUGUUCAAGCUCAGCAGGGUGUUUUGCAGGGUCUUCCAAAGACAGCAGGCACAAGCCCAGCUGCACAUACAGCUAUUCCCUAGCCCCAACAGGCCAAACUGACCCCAUCUAAGUAAGAACAAGAUUAAAGCAGUUUGGGAGUGACCACACGUGCCAUUAUGCGGCCAGAGGAGUGAGCAACAGCCUCGGGCGGGCAGUGAGGAGCCUGGCCCACCAGCUCAGCCACAGCCAGAGCAGUGCAUCUGUCCGCAACCUGCGUUUCUUU